AUACGGAAGGUCCGGGCGUUAUCCGGAUUUAUUGGGUUUAAAGGGAGCGCAGGCGGAGAUGCAAGCGUGACGUCAAAUUUCGGGGCUCAACCCCGUCUCGCGUCGCGAACUGCGUCCCUUGGUUGCGGGAAGGGGAGGCGGAACUCGUGGUGUAGCGGUGAAAUGCAUAGAUAUCACGAAGAACUCCGAUCGCGAAGGCAGCCUUCCGGCCCGUCAACGACGCUCAUGCUCGAAGGUGCGGGUAUCAAACAGGAUUAGAUACCCUGGUAGUCCGUACAGUAAACGAUGGACACCCGCGGUUUGGCCUGUAUGGCUGAGCCGCCAAGCGAAAGCGUUAAGUGUCCCACCUGGGGAGUACGCCGGCAACGGUGAAACUCAAAGGAAUUGACGGGG
This 393-nucleotide ribosomal RNA is filed under the name uncultured bacterium. RNAcentral describes it as "partial 16S ribosomal RNA". It matches the Rfam family "Bacterial small subunit ribosomal RNA", at positions 523 to 918 of the family's 1533-position model. The record is from RNAcentral.